Molecule: ribosomal RNA, 386 nt
Filed under: uncultured bacterium
Lineage: Bacteria
Description: bacterial SSU rRNA
Rfam family: Bacterial small subunit ribosomal RNA
Source: RNAcentral
AGCGAACGCUGGCGGCGUGCUUAACACAUGCAAGUCGAGUGCGCGUUUCGUAGCAAUACGGGAUGGCGCACGGCGCACGGGUGAGGAACACGUGGGCAACAUGCCCUCUGAUGGGGAAUAACCCCGCGAAAGCGGGGCUAAUACCGCAUAAGAUUCCGGGGACCUCGGUCCCUGGACUGAAAGCCCGCAAGGGCGUCGGAGGAGUGGCCCGCGGCCGAUUAGCUUGUUGGCGGGGAACGGCCCACCAAGGCAAUGAUCGGUAGCCGGUCCUGAGAGGAUGAUCGGCCACACUGGAACUGAGACACGGUCCAGACUCCUACGGGAGGCAGCAGUGGGGAAUCUUGCGCAAUGGGCGAAAGCCUGACGCAGCGACGCCGCGUGGGGGA